GGCUCACUGCUACUUCCUCCCCCCUCUCCUCUCUUGCAGGCUGGCUGGUGGCCUCCCCCCCUACGCACCCAACUACUCCUCCUGGUUAGAUUGCUGGAGCCAACUGCUCAAGGAGGGGAACAUGAACUGAGGCAAGAGCCUGUUUUUCCGGAAGGUGCCUGCGGGGAAAGGUGCUGCACGUGUGGGAGGAGAAGCGGCUCCGCUGAGGCCGGAGCUGGGCGAGGGGCCCGGGCCCGGGCCAGAUGCACUGAAUGAUGGGAGAGUGGUGAUUUCUAUACAGUUUUUUAAAUAAUGAUUCAAUCUUGGGAAAUGGA
Chrysemys picta bellii (western painted turtle) is the source of this 314-nucleotide non-coding RNA. The record is from RefSeq and is a predicted model, not a curated record. Lineage: Eukaryota; Metazoa; Chordata; Testudines; Emydidae.